GUCCUCUUGAAUAAUAUUAUGAGGUCUGGUCUGCUCACUGAUAAUUUAAAUAGCCGCGGUAUUUUCCCGUGCAAAGGUAGCAUAAUCAUUAGUCUUUUAAUUUAAGGCUGGAAUGAACGGCUUGACGAGAAAUUAACUGUCUCUUAAUAACUUGAAGAAUUUAACUUCUAAGUUAAAAGGCUUAGAUUUAUUUUUAGGACGAGAAGACCCUAUAGAUCUUUACAUUAAUAUUAUAUUAGGUUUUUAGUUAAUAUUUCCAUAUUUAUUAAUAAUGUUUUGUUGGGGUGACAUAUAAAAUCAAUAAACUUUUUAUUUUAAAAUCAUUGAUUUAUGUUUAUUUUGAUCCAUAAUUUAUGAUCAUGAGAUUAAGUUACCUUAGGGAUAACAGCGUAAUUAUUUUUGAGAGCUCAUAUCGACAAAGUAGAUUGCGACCUCGAUGUUGGAUUAAGAAUAAUUUUAGGUGUAGUAGUCUAAAAAUUAGGUCUGUUCGACCUUUAAAUUCUU
This 504-nucleotide ribosomal RNA is filed under the name Sinstauchira yunnaensis. RNAcentral's name for it is "partial 16S ribosomal RNA". It matches the Rfam family "Bacterial large subunit ribosomal RNA", at positions 1819 to 2597 of the family's 2925-position model. Lineage: Eukaryota; Metazoa; Arthropoda; Insecta; Orthoptera; Acrididae. The record is from RNAcentral.